CUGCACCAUUCCCAGCUGGAUUUUCCAUGGAAAAUUUGGAUUUUGGGAGCAAACUCGACCCUGUGGGGAUCUGUGGCAGGUGGAAAAAUGGGAAUUUUGUGUGGGAAUGUUCCAAAAUGGAUUUUUAGAAUCCCAAAUUCCUUGGGAUCGGAUUUUCCCGGGAUGCUUUCCCCAUGUCCUCUCGUGUCCCCAAUGUCCCCAAUGUCCCUGUGUGUCCCCAAUGUCCCUGUGUGUCCCCAAUGUCCCCAUGUCCCCAAUGUCCCUGUGUGUCCCCAUGUCCUCUCAUGUCCCCAUGUCCUCUCAUGUCCCCAAUGUCCCUGUGUGUCCCCCUGUCCCCAAUGUCCCAAAUGUCCCCAUGUCCCCAAUGUCCCUGUGUGUCCCCAUGUCCCCAAUGUCCCUGUGUGUCCCCAUGUCUCCAAUGUCCCCAAUGUCCCCAAUGUCCCCAAUGUCCCCAAUGUCCCCGUGUCCCCGCAGGGAUUCCCGUGGCAGGCGGUGAUGUCGGACAAGGGCGGCAGCAUGGACGGCAGGACGGACAUUGUCAACGGCAGCCUGUCCAGCAGCCCUGAGGACAUGUCAGCCGAGGAGAGCCGGUGUCACUGUGCUGUCCCAUGGUGACACUGUGUGAUCCCCUGUCCCCAGGCAGUACAG
This 648-nucleotide long non-coding RNA is filed under the name Zonotrichia albicollis (white-throated sparrow). RNAcentral describes it as "lncRNA (ENSZALG00000001857.1)". The record is from RNAcentral. Lineage: Eukaryota; Metazoa; Chordata; Aves; Passeriformes; Passerellidae.